This 450-nucleotide ribosomal RNA is filed under the name uncultured bacterium. RNAcentral's name for it is "partial 16S ribosomal RNA". It matches the Rfam family "Bacterial small subunit ribosomal RNA", at positions 354 to 796 of the family's 1533-position model. The record is from RNAcentral.
GUGGGGAAUCUUCCGCAAUGGACGAAAGUCUGACGGAGCAACGCCGCGUGAGUGAUGAAGGUCUUCGGAUUGUAAAGCUCUGUUAAUCGGGACGAAAGAGCCUAGUGUGAAUAAUGCUAGGAAGUGACGGUACCGGAAUAGAAAGCCACGGCUAACUACGUGCCAGCAGCCGCGGUAAUACGUAGGUGGCAAGCGUUGUCCGGAAUGAUUGGGCGUAAAGCGCGCGCAGGCGGAUCUGCCAGUCUGUCUUAAAAGUUCGGGGCUUAACCCCGUGAUGGGAUGGAAACUACAGAUCUAGAGUAUCGGAGAGGAAAGUGGAAUUCCUAGUGUAGCGGUGAAAUGCGUAGAUAUUAGGAAGAACACCAGUGGCGAAGGCGACUUUCUGGACGAAAACUGACGCUGAGGCGCGAAAGCCAGGGGAGCGAACGGGAUUAGAUACCCGUGUAGUCC